Molecule: ribosomal RNA, 253 nt
Filed under: uncultured bacterium
Lineage: Bacteria
Description: partial 16S ribosomal RNA
Rfam family: Bacterial small subunit ribosomal RNA
Source: RNAcentral
GACGAACCGUGCGAACGUUGUUCGGAAUCACUGGGCUUAAAGGGCGCGUAGGCGGCUCGCGAGGUCGGGGGUGAAAUCCCGCGGCUCAACCGCGGAAGGGCCUCCGAUACCGGCGGGCUGGAGGGGGGUAGGGGUGCGCGGAACUUCUGGUGGAGCGGUGAAAUGCGUUGAUAUCAGAAGGAACGCCGGCGGCGAAGGCGGCUCACUGGACCGGUACUGACGCUGAUGCGCGAAAGCGUGGGGAGCAAACGGG